This 433-nucleotide ribosomal RNA is filed under the name uncultured bacterium. Its description in RNAcentral is "bacterial SSU rRNA". It matches the Rfam family "Bacterial small subunit ribosomal RNA", at positions 29 to 507 of the family's 1533-position model. The record is from RNAcentral.
AACGAACGCUGGCGGCAUGCCUAACACAUGCAAGUCGAACGAAGGCUUCGGCCUUAGUGGCGCACGGGUGCGUAACGCGUGGGAAUCUGCCCUUGGGUUCGGAAUAACUCAGAGAAAUUUGAGCUAAUACCGGAUGAUGACGUAAGUCCAAAGAUUUAUCGCCCAAGGAUGAGCCCGCGUAAGAUUAGCUAGUUGGUGGGGUAAAGGCCUACCAAGGCGACGAUCUUUAGCUGGUCUGAGAGGAUGAUCAGCCACACUGGGACUGAGACACGGCCCAGACUCCUACGGGAGGCAGCAGUGGGGAAUAUUGGACAAUGGGCGAAAGCCUGAUCCAGCAAUGCCGCGUGAGUGAUGAAGGCCUUAGGGUUGUAAAGCUCUUUUACCAGGGAUGAUAAUGACAGUACCUGGAGAAUAAGCACCGGCUAACUACGUG